Micropterus salmoides (largemouth bass) is the source of this 719-nucleotide long non-coding RNA. RefSeq lists it as uncharacterized. The record is from RefSeq and is a predicted model, not a curated record. The transcript is spliced from 3 exons. Lineage: Eukaryota; Metazoa; Chordata; Actinopteri; Centrarchiformes; Centrarchidae.
AACUCCGUAGUUCGUCUGCCUGAAAAAGGGACUGACCUUGCCGCUGGCGGUUCCUCCGCUGACCCCUAUUAGGAAAGGGCGGUGACGGGGCCUCUCUGCCUCGUCUAGGGUCCCAAGAGUAUCCAUCGCAGUCCAACUGCAGAAGCUUUUAUGCAGAGCGACUUACAUUUGAGGAACAGCGUAAGCUACAAAAAAGCAUCAAGAAAGUGGGACAUCUACAAGUGACAACAGAUUCAUCCACCACUAUCUCCAAAGCAGCACUUCCUUCGAUCUCUUCACAGUCUCUCCUUUGGCAGCAAGGAUUUCCUCGAUGUUUCUAAAGUGGAAAACAACACAACACGAGUAAUUCAGAAAUGUACCCAUGUCUAGUGUAUUUUGAACAUCGUGCGCACUCCAUGCUCAAAAGGCUGCAUGGGUCAAAAGCACCUCCAACCUCUUCCCUUCCAGGUCAGAGAACCAGUUGAGGUUAUCAGCGAUGAUAUGGUGGUUCUUGCAUCCUGAACAUGUCACUAUCACAACACCUUUGUGAUAAGCCUGCUUGGAUAUCUUCUGCGUGGACCUAGUAGAGCAAACCUGCAAACAUGUCACAUAAAUGACUUUUAAACCCAGGGAUAUGUCACAACAUAAAACAAACAGACCAAGAAAAUGUUUUGGGAUUUCAAGAUGGAAAACUUUAACAUCUGAUUAAAUAAAGCAACAGCACAAAUAAUGGCCCAACA